ACGGGUUAGUAACGCGUGGGAAUAUACCCUUCACUACGGAAUAGCCUCGGGAAACUGGGAGUAAUACCGUAUACGCCCUUUGGGGGAAAGAUUUAUCGGUGAAGGAUUAGCCCGCGUCUGAUUAGAUAGUUGGUGGGGUAAUGGCCUACCAAGUCUACGAUCAGUAGCUGGUUUGAGAGGCUGAUCAGCCACACUGGGACUGAG
RNAcentral lists this ribosomal RNA (204 nucleotides) under Mesodinium rubrum. RNAcentral describes it as "partial Bacterial small subunit ribosomal RNA". It matches the Rfam family "Bacterial small subunit ribosomal RNA", at positions 102 to 323 of the family's 1533-position model. Lineage: Eukaryota; Ciliophora; Litostomatea; Cyclotrichida; Mesodiniidae. The record is from RNAcentral.